AACGAACGCUGGCGGCAUGCCUAACACAUGCAAGUCGAACGAGACCUUCGGGUCUAGUGGCGCACGGGUGCGUAACGCGUGGGAACCUGCCUUUAGGUUCGGAAUAACUCAGAGAAAUUUGAGCUAAUACCGGAUGAUGUCUUCGGACCAAAGAUUUAUCGCCUUUAGAUGGGCCCGCGUUGGAUUAGCUAGUUGGUGGGGUAAAGGCCUACCAAGGCGACGAUCCAUAGCUGGUCUGAGAGGAUGAUCAGCCACACUGGGACUGAGACACGGCCCAGACUCCUACAGGAGGCAGCAGUGGGGAAUAUUGGACAAUGGGCGAAAGCCUGAUCCAGCAAUGCCGCGUGAGUGAUGAAGGCCUUAGGGUUGUAAAGCUCUUUUACCCGAGAUGAUAAUGACAGUAUCGGGAGAAUAAGCUCCGGCUAACUCCGUG
This 433-nucleotide ribosomal RNA is filed under the name uncultured bacterium. RNAcentral's name for it is "partial 16S ribosomal RNA". It matches the Rfam family "Bacterial small subunit ribosomal RNA", at positions 29 to 507 of the family's 1533-position model. The record is from RNAcentral.